RNAcentral lists this transfer RNA (71 nucleotides) under Caudoviricetes sp. RNAcentral describes it as "tRNA-Gln". It matches the Rfam family "tRNA". Rfam says of the family: Transfer RNA (tRNA) molecules are approximately 80 nucleotides in length. Their secondary structure includes four short double-helical elements and three loops (D, anti-codon, and T loops). Lineage: Duplodnaviria; Heunggongvirae; Uroviricota; Caudoviricetes. The record is from RNAcentral.
UGGGCUAUCGCCAAACGGUAAGGCACAGGAUUUUGAUUCCCGCAUUCCGGGUUCGAAUCCCGGUAGUCUAA